CUCCGAGUUCGCGGGAGAGUAAGUUAUUGCCAGGGUUUUUAUUUUAUACUUUAAACAUUGAUUUUAUUUUUUAUGUUUUUAGAUGUUCAUGUUUUUGAAUGUUUUAUUUAAAUAAUAUAAAAAAUAAAAUAUAUAUUGACAUGGAUUAAACAAAGAUAUAUAUUAUUCUAUGUUGCAUAAACAAAUUGGCAAAAUAGAGAUGGAAGAUAAAAAUAUGGUCAAAGUAAUAAGAGUCUAUGGUGAAUGCCUAGGA
This 253-nucleotide unclassified non-coding RNA is filed under the name Botrytis cinerea. RNAcentral's name for it is "partial 5S-23S ribosomal RNA intergenic spacer". The record is from RNAcentral. Lineage: Eukaryota; Fungi; Ascomycota; Leotiomycetes; Helotiales; Sclerotiniaceae.